CAUUAUGAGCUUGAAGACAAAACAAUAAAAUAGGCAAAUUUCAACAGUUAUAUGUACAUUUUGCAGUAGUUCAAACCGCUUCAGUUUGCUUUUUGUAGCAGUUACUAGUAACUACCAUUCGAAUAUGAUCAACGACGGUUUUUAGGAAUGGUUGGAUGAAGCUCUGGAUGAAUAUCAUUUUUGAGUCAAAACUCCUUAUGGUUGCUCUUGAUGAUGUUCUUCAGUAUGCUGAGGGUCAAAGACUCUCUCACCUUACUCCUUUAGAUGAUAAAAGAUCCGCUUGGGAAGACUUCAAAAUAUAUUUGGCUUGCUUCCUCGAGUUUAAAAAACUCUUCCUGAAGGUAACGCCUUCUAGCAUCCGAAUUUAAAAAACCUAGCGUGGUUUAGAAACUCUUCCUCGAGUUUAAAAAACCUAGCGUGGUUUAGAAAUCCUUCAACCCACUCAGCAACGAGACUUAAAUUUGCAAAUCGUUUUAUCUCGCAAAAGUUUCUCUUUUACCUUCAGACCUGUUUGACCUUCAACCUCAACUUGUAUCAGACAAAUUUGAGCUGAGCCAACUUCGUCCUGCAAAACUCUUCACAUAUAAAGAAACAAUUCCCAUUGAUGUUUUUGUUGAUAGCUUUGAAAGUUGGGCGCAUACUCUUUAAGAUUAUACGGAAAGAUUCCCUGAACUUACUCAAGUUCCCUUUGAAUUAUCUUACUUUUGCACUAAAUUAUUUGAGGACUGGUAGACUUAUUAUUAUGAUCCUAUCAAGAUACCCCUUUAGGUGUGUCUCGAUAAUAUAACAACAACUCUUGGUGUGUAGAAAGGAGAUCCCUCUAGGAAUAGUCGAGGUACGCAUGUAAAAUAAAUUCAAUCAUUUCAAAGAUACUUCCAAGUUUUGUACAUACCUUGUCAAAUAAAGAAUACUCUUCACGAGGCGGCUUAAGCUAUAAUAAGGAAACUCGAAGCAAGUGUUUUGAAAAUUUGAUUUCCUCCUUUUAAAGACAAAUACAAAUUUUCCUUGAGGAUGCGUUUCCCCAACUUUCUGCCUUUUCCAAACUUCAAGUUUUCUUUGGAUUUUCCCGUUGUGCUCCGAAAGUGGAUUUUGUUUUCUUCCUUAGACAGAGUCGAUAAUUCAUUUAAGCCACUUUGUGAUAGGGUAACUUUGAAGAAAUGCUCAAUGUACUACUUUGCUGAGCACCAUCUUUGCAUUACUUCAAGUAUAUUUUCCGCAGUAAACUUCCCAUUCAGGGUUUAACAUAUUUUUUCCACUUCUUCAUAUUUGAUUGUUAAUGUAAAACCACAACUAUCUCGAUUCAAACCCAAUAGAGACUAUCGAAUGUUGGAAGCAAUAGUGGCAAGAACCAAAACUCCCGGCCCAGGAAGCAAAGUCUGAAAAGAAGGGCCUUGCGAACUCGAUCUCAUGUAAUUACGAAAAGUUCUCCCCUUAUUUUUGAAAAACGUUUCUAUUUUACCUUACCGAGUCUUCACAUUUUCCAUUCGUCAAAUUCUAUACAGACUCGAAAAAUGAACUCUUAAAGCAUUACUCUAGAGAGAAAUAAGAAAUCAAAAUAUGAGUUUAUGAAUCUUGAUGCAGAAGAAGACAAAUAUGAGGAAGCCAAGAAAUAUUCAUAAUGUGUAUGUAAGACCAAGAUUUGGUCAGGUUGUACAACUCUAUGUUUGGUGAUAACAAGCUUAUAUUUGUGUAUGAACAAUUAUGGUACUCUAACGUUUAUCUUUUAAGUGUUUGACAAUCAGGUUCUGAUCCUGAUCCAAAGACAUAUUCAUCAGAAGAUAAAGACCAAAUGGUAACCAUUGAGAUGCUUCUGCACUCACUACGUUCUUCUGAACGGUUGUCAAUGCUUCAGAUGUUCUGAAGAUUAAAGCUCUGAUGUGGGCUAUGAAGAUUCAGAUGCUGAAGAUUAUGAAGACCAGAAGUUCUGAGCGAACGGUCCAGAAGCUGAAGACUUGAAGAUUCUCAAGACCCAGAGAAAUCUGGCUCUCAAGACCAAAGUACUUCUGAUUUUGAAGACCAGAAGUUCUGAGUGAACGGUUCAGAUGCAGAAGUUAUGAAGGUUAGAGGAUCCAAGCUUCCUCGUGACUUUGAUCAAGUUGCUUCACAAGUUCCAACACGAAGCUUCUCCAAAGAUCAGAAGUCAACUAGGAUAAGGCAAAUGUAAUUUUCAAUAGUACAAAAGCAGUGUACUAUUCUGUCGCCUUACCUAACGAGCUUCAGCCACAACAGGUUCUGGAAUUUCCAGAAUUGCCUUCCAACGGAUACAAAACUUUCACCUUGGAGUAUUUAAAGGCUGAAGAGAAAAGAAAUUGACUAAGAAAAUACUGUGCAAUCCAAGUGAAACUUACCAGCGAAUACCUUAGAAAUAUUUUUUCAUUGUUCUUAUUGUGUUUACUCCUGUUUGUUUAGAACCAACUCAUUGUAAACCCAAACUUUUCACAAACUUUGUUUGUAUUUCCUUAAGGAACCAGGUAGGUCAGAUUCCUUGAGAAGACUAAGACUUGUUUGUCUUAGUGUUGCUAGUUCUUAGAUUUGUAAGUCACUGAGCAAGGUGUGCUAGUGCAGUUGUAACAAUCUUUGAUUAAUGGAUUACCUUCAUUCUACGAAGGAAGAAAUCACCUUAACGGGUGGACUGGACUAGCUUGAGGGAUUUAUCAAGUGAAUCAGGAUAAAACACUUAUGUGAUUUUCUCCUCUCUUUAUCUCUUGCACGUUUUGUCUUAGUUACUUAGAAUAUUUGCUAAAAUCUUAAAGGGAAAGUUUUUAAACUUAAAACCUAUUCAAACCCCCCUUUCUAGUGUUUUUCAUACCUUCAGCGUAGGCCUUAAUCAAAUAUUUUGCAUAAAUGACCUUAUUCCUUUUCAGCUCGCGGCGAGAAGGGGAAGUCAACAAAUAAACCUCCAACUUCUCGUCGAAACCUCACAGAUCAUGUUUAACGAGAUUCCAUCAAAGAGUUAUGUCAGAUCAACGUCAAGCGUAGCUACAUACACGAGUUCCAAGAACUUGGCACCCGCAAAAGAUGAAAUUUACCAGGUAUUAUUCCCAUGUCCUUAUCUAUUUCCACAAUUUACAAUUUGUUGUUGGGAACUCUUCUUUACUUCAUUCAUUUGCAAAGAACCCCUACUCCAAAGGCCUUGAAGAAAGCCAAUCCACCACCUUAAUUAAAUACUUACAUCUUAAUUCUUCCUACAUCACAUCAAGUGAUAAUAGUACUUCAGGUGGUGAAAUCGUCCUCUUUUCCAUCGCUUUAGAUUGGGUGUCAAAAUAAACGUAAGAUACUUUAUCUUUCCUAAUUCGCUGAUACAAAUAAUCCUCUUUAUUUUCUUCUUCAGGGUAAAAAUGUUCAAGGAGAUGAAGGGGACGAAGAAUUCCUAGAUCAAUGCGCAAGUGAUAUUGAAGCGGAUAUUGCAUAUGGAGACCCUAAUCAAGAAAAUAAUCCUCUGAAGACCGCUUCUCUAAUAACUACGAGAGUGGCUCUAGUAUCCAGUACCAAGUCUUUGACUUCAUUCCACACGCCUUCAGCACAUAUUGAUCGUGAAACAUUUAGAGCUCAAGUUGACAAGAACCCAACACUUGAUUUAGAUCACUUUAUAUACGAUUUGUCCUUUACGUCUUCAUCUCAGAAUUGUCGUUAUAUGACACCAACAGAAACUGCUCAAUCAGAGCCUAGGAUUGAAGAAUCCAUAAUUAAGCUACGAAGGCUUGUGCUUGACCGUGAUCUCCUUGAUGUAUUAUAAAUUAACCAUUGUUCGGGCCAAGAGAUGAGGGAUCUUAUCAUGCAAACUCCUAGUUGAUAUCUUGUUGUCAAAGAAUGAAGUGAGACACAUGUAUGAUUUUUUAAGGAUGCAAUAAUUCUGUUGAAUUCAACCUAUUGCAAAUCGACAAUGGUGAAAGAUAUGAUCCACCUGCAAAACUAAAAGCAUAAAAAGAAUAAUGAAUUGAAUGAAAAAUAAGAACAAACAAAUGAAAACAUGAACUUUCUAUAAAAAAAGGGAAACACACUAAAACAUAAGAGAAAACAUUUUAGGGCACCACAAUAUCAUCUCCCUAACUAUUAAUCACCUAUCCUCCAUGAACUCACACCAAGCCAUUUGAUUAGGAUGAAGAGCACACUUGAUCAACUCCUUAAUGGAUAUGCCGCUCAUAAAGAGUGUGGAGGACUAGAAAAAAAAAAGUAAAGUCUUACUUGGUAGAGAAUGGCUGAGGAUGAGAGAUAAAGGAAAGAAUUGUAAGAUGAACCGAUAAGGAGGCAUCGUUUUUAAAUGUGCUAUUUGAAGUUAAGGAAAAUAAGAAUGAUGGAAACAAUUAUGAAAAAUUGGAGGCAAAAUUCAUAUAAUACCGAGUAGAUUUAAUGUUAAUUAUUAAUUAUGAAAUGUUAGUGUGUCUGUGCAAUAGAAUAGUGGGGUUUUCCCCAAGGUUUUGUUUCUUGCUUGUUUAAAGUUUCCCUGUAGGCUAUAUUGAGUUCUGGUAUGAGUUUUUGGGGUUAUUCUCUUUCUGUACUGGUUUUUGUUUGGAUAGCCUAUCAAGGAUUAUUUUCCCACAUGGGAGAGAUUGUUCCCAUGUUGAAUGUUGUUGAUUAAUUUAUCUUCAUUUUUUUCAAUAAAACUUAUGAAAGUGUUACUUUUAAAAUGUACAAUGCAGAUUAAAAAAAUAGAAGGUGAGGGAUUAAAAAUUUGAUGUGGGGAAGCUUAUGUGGGAAGUAAAGGGAAAAAUUUUAAUUUAAAAACAUUAACAUUAACCUGUAUAUUUCAAAAUUCAUUUGACAAUUAAAAUAUACAUUUAAUCCAGAAAACCUUAUACUGUAGGUUAUUAUCAUCCUUCACCCACACACCAUAUACCAACAUGCCUCACAAUAGCCUCUUCCUAUAAACUAAGUUGUUAUUAAUAGUAAUUUCUUAUUAAUUAAUGAGUGAUAGAUGAUUAUUAGUAAUAGUACUAAACAUAACAAACACCUAAUAUUGGAAAAAUCAUAUAUUUAGUAAGAGGUUCCUUAUUUUUCUCAUAAUGUUAACGCUUUGCUAUUCAAGUAUAAAUAGUGCUCGAACAUACUUCAAAAUCAAAUUCAUGAAUUGAAAAGAAGUGCAAGGACAUAGCGUGUUAACAAAAACAAUUAUAAUGGAUAUGAAGCUCAAUAUCGCGAUAAUUGCUUUUGUCUCAUUUCUUUAUGGCUUUAGUACAGCUCAAUCAUGGGUCCUUGAGAUAUCAAAAUUUGGCGGAGCACCGAAUGCAGAUAUAACACAGGUAUUAUCUUAUCAUUGAUUAUAUUAAGAAAAAAAUUAUUUCACUUUUGGAAAUGAAAAAACUUAUUUCACUUUUCGCUCGAAACUUAGUUUUAUCCAACUAAAUUGGUGAUAUCACAAGCAAGUACUAUAUAUUAUUUAUUUUAGUUUAUAAUCAAAUAAUUGAUUCGAGUUUUACACAUUCUUAAGGCUUUUACAAAUGCUUGGAAAAAAGCAUGUGAGUCAACCACUUCAGCCAAAAUUGUGAUUCCUCAUGGUACAUACAAGAUGGGUGCAGUACAGGUCCAAGGUCCUUGCAAGGCCCAUAUUGAAGUUCAAGUUGAUGGAACAAUUAAAGCACCUGUAAACCCAAGGAACUUCAAAGGGGCUGGCACAUGGGUGCAGUUUAGUUAUAUUAGCUUUUUCACCUUAUCGGGUAAAGGAGUUUUUGAUGGUGUUGGUGAAACUGCUUGGAAAAGAAAUGAUUGUUCAAAAAACAAGCAUUGCACCUUGCUUCCCAUGGUAAAUAUAGAUUACUCUUGCAUUUUCAUUCCAAGUAUGUUACACAUUUAUCAAACAAUAAUAAAUCAACAAUUGAUCUUUUUGUCUGAUGUCAACAGAAUUUUGCUUUUAAUUACGUCAAUAAUUCAAUUGUUCGUGACAUUACUUCCAAAGAUAGCAAAAGCUUCAAUGUCAAUGUUUUGGGUUGCAACAAUUUUACAUUUGAUGGUUUCAAAAUUGUUGCCCCUGCUUUGAGUCCGAACACAGAUGGAAUCCACGUUGGAAGAUCAACUGAUGUGAAGAUUCUUAACACAAAUAUUGGUACCGGAGAUGAUUGCGUCUCAUUAGGUGAUGGAAUAAAAAAUGUACUUGUUCAAAAUGUCAACUGCGGACCAGGUCAUGGUAUUAGUGUUGGUAGCCUCGGAAAGUACCCGGAUGAAAAGCCUGUAGAAGGAUUUUAUGUAAAGAAUUGCACUUUGACAAACACUGAUAAUGGUGUGAGGAUCAAGACUUGGCCUAGCACCCCAGGAACAGCUCCUAUAACCGAUAUGCAUUUCGAAGACAUUAUCAUGGUCAAUGUAAAGAACCCUAUUAUCAUCGACCAAGAGUAUUGUCCAUGGAACCAAUGCUCCAAAAAGGUAUUUAAUCCUAAACUUAUAUUUAUUAAUGCAAAAGUUAACAUAUAUUUUCAUUUUUAAAAAAUAAUGUUCAUAGUUUAAAAUUUAGUAAUUUAAUUGUCCAUACACUAAAGUAAUUUAUAUGACUGAUUGUUGUCCAUUUGUUGGUUUCUUUAAAUGAGCCAGAGUCCAUCUAAAAUAAAGAUAAGCAAGGUUUCGUUCAAGAACAUUAGGGGCACUUCAGCAACUCCGGAAGGAGUAAUUCUUAUUUGCAGCAGUGGUGUACCUUGUGACACUGUAGAGCUAAAUGGUGUUGAUCUUACUUUCAAUGGAGCCCUAGUACUGGAAAAGCUCCUACAUGUGUAGCACCGGCAGCUUAGAAUGACUUUAACAUGGCAUAAUGUGUCCAAGAUUAUAAUAUUUUCUUUAACUUUCUAUUUUCCUUUUAAGGGUAUAGAACUCAUCCCCAUAAAACGAGGAUGCUAAUGAUUCUAGUCCCGAAAUGCGGGUUCAUGUAAACAAUUUUUCCAAGACUUUAAUUUCUAUCAGUUGACACAAUAAUUACAAGAUGUUUUCCCUUUGUUGGAUACAAUUU
This 6931-nucleotide long non-coding RNA is filed under the name Lotus japonicus. RNAcentral's name for it is "long non-coding RNA (LJAP_LNC000785)". The record is from RNAcentral. Lineage: Eukaryota; Viridiplantae; Streptophyta; Magnoliopsida; Fabales; Fabaceae.